RNAcentral lists this transfer RNA (72 nucleotides) under Hypoxylon trugodes. RNAcentral describes it as "tRNA-Gln". It matches the Rfam family "tRNA". Rfam says of the family: Transfer RNA (tRNA) molecules are approximately 80 nucleotides in length. Lineage: Eukaryota; Fungi; Ascomycota; Sordariomycetes; Xylariales; Hypoxylaceae. The record is from RNAcentral.
GCUCCUAUAGUCUAGAGGUUAGGACGUCGGAUUCUGAUUCCGAAAACACUGGUUCGAACCCAGUUAGGAGCU